This 76-nucleotide transfer RNA is filed under the name Peptostreptococcaceae bacterium. RNAcentral describes it as "tRNA-Asn". It matches the Rfam family "tRNA". From Rfam's summary of the family: Transfer RNA (tRNA) molecules are approximately 80 nucleotides in length. Their secondary structure includes four short double-helical elements and three loops (D, anti-codon, and T loops). Further hydrogen bonds mediate the characteristic L-shaped molecular structure. tRNAs have two regions of fundamental functional importance: the anti-codon, which is responsible for specific mRNA codon recognition, and the 3' end, to which the tRNAs corresponding amino acid is attached (by aminoacyl-tRNA synthetases). tRNAs cope with the degeneracy of the genetic code in two manners: having more than one tRNA (with a specific anti-codon) for a particular amino acid; and 'wobble' base-pairing, i.e. permitting non-standard base-pairing at the 3rd anti-codon position. Lineage: Bacteria; Bacillati; Bacillota; Clostridia; Peptostreptococcales; Peptostreptococcaceae. The record is from RNAcentral.
GGGAAUAUGGCUCAGUAGGUAGAGCAAUUGACUGUUAAUCAAUGGGUCACAGGUUCGAGCCCUAUUAUUCCCGCCA